AGAAUAGGACGUGUGGUUCUAUUUUGUUGGUUUCUAGGACCGCCGUAAUGAUUAAUAGGGAUAGUCGGGGGCAUCAGUAUUCAAUUGUCAGAGGUGAAAUUCUUGGAUUUAUUGAAGACUAACUACUGCGAAAGCAUUUGCCAAGGAUGUUUUCAUUAAUCAGUGAACGAAAGUUAGGGGAUCGAAGACGAUCAGAUACCGUCGUAGUCUUAACCAUAAACUAUGCCGACUAGGGAUCGGGCGAUGUUAUUUUUUUGACUCGCUCGGCACCUUACGAGAAAUCAAAGUCUUUGGGUUCUGGKGGGAGUAUGGUCGCAAGGCUGAAACUUAAAGAAAUUGACGGGAGGGCACCACCAGGAGUGGAGCCUGCGGCUUAAUUUGACUCAACACGGGGAAACUCACCAGGUCCAGACACAAUAAGGAUUGACAGAUUGAGAGCUCUUUCUUGAUUUUGUGGGUGGUGGUGCAUGGCCGUUCUUAGUUGGUGGAGUGAUUUGUCUGCUUAAUUGCGAUAACGAACGAGACCUUAACCUGCUAAAUAGCAGGCUAGCUUUGGCUGGUCGCCGGCUUCUUAGAGGGACUAUCGGCUCAAGCCGAUGGAAGUUUGAGGCAAUAACAGGUCUGUGAUGCCCUUAGAUGUUCUGGGCCGCACGCGCGCUACACUGACAGAGCCAACGAGUUUCUUCCUUGUCCGAAAGGUCUGGGUAAUCUUGUUAAACUCUGUCGUGC
RNAcentral lists this ribosomal RNA (729 nucleotides) under uncultured fungus. RNAcentral describes it as "SSU rRNA". It matches the Rfam family "Eukaryotic small subunit ribosomal RNA", at positions 830 to 1590 of the family's 1831-position model. The record is from RNAcentral. Lineage: Eukaryota; Fungi.